UAUACAACAGCAGAAGACCACAUUGGCUAACACUCCUGUCAGCCAAGUACAGGAAUCUGAGGCUACAGUGGACACGUUCUCACUGAAACUGGACAGUUGAACAUUGUAAAAACAGCUUGUCUGGCAUCAACAGUCAACAAUCAGCAAUCAGAAAGAGUGUGAUUGCUACAUCCUCCUGAGACACCUCCAAGCCAGCAGAGGGCCCCCUCCCCUGAUGACUAACUUCCCCUUUAUCACCAUUACCACUUCCUGUUUACAGACUAUAUAAGCCUGGUUCAAACUUCUAAGUAUUGCAAUGUCUUGUCAACUCUUGAGAUUGUGUAAUUUCUGAGCUUUGUUUUUUUUUAGUGAUUGCUUUUUCUGUUUUUGUUCCUUGCUGUGUUUUUUUCACUACUCUGGAUUUGUCCUUGUUUGAAGGUUGCAAUAGCCUUAGUCACUGGGGAGGCCUGUUUGGUUGUGGUUGCAUUAGACAUGCUGGCAAGGCUGAAGAAUGAGUGAGGUAAUCCAUAGAAUAUAAACUACUUGGACACAAGUCAUGGCCUGACCACCCCUGGCUGGGUCGCCUGCAUGAGGGUGUCUGAUGUUGAAAGACCUGAAAUAUCUGAUGAACCCAGAUUACAUCACUGAUGAUGCACCCAGGCACUAUCCUGUGACAACUUCAGCAGUUGGCAAUUGACAGACUCAAGCAGUAACACAUCCAAGGUAUAUUGUGAAUUUGGAGAUGUAAUUGCACAGUUUAGUAAUGAAGAUUAUGCAUGAAUAACUAUUGAUCAUUUCAAUAGUGGGGGUCUGCCAAGGCUGCCUAAAAGUGCCUUAGCAACAGCCCCGGCAAACAAUAUGAUAUGAAUUGAUAAUGAAUCAGUUCCAAGAUAAACAUUGCUUAAUCUCCUACACCCUGUAACCCCACCCCCACUUGUAUCUCUUUCUUGUCAUUGAAUUCUGUCCCCUUUUUCUCUAUCUGAGCAUUGACUGCUAGGCUGGGAGUCAUUUGAGCUAACUGUCAAUACUUACCUGGUUUAGACACCCUUAGAGCUGUGGUCAUCCAGACACCAAAAGUGUUGGUUGGAAAUGUGACGGAUAAAUGAGAAGAGAGAGCAAGUGAAAUACACAGAACCAGUGUCUAAAUAUAAAUGCAUGUACUUUU
This is a long non-coding RNA of Pangasianodon hypophthalmus (striped catfish), 1144 nucleotides long. RefSeq lists it as uncharacterized. The transcript has 3 exons. The record is from RefSeq and is a predicted model, not a curated record. Lineage: Eukaryota; Metazoa; Chordata; Actinopteri; Siluriformes; Pangasiidae.